Eubalaena glacialis (North Atlantic right whale) is the source of this 177-nucleotide long non-coding RNA. RefSeq lists it as uncharacterized. The record is from RefSeq and is a predicted model, not a curated record. NCBI's taxonomy places the organism in Eukaryota, Metazoa, Chordata, Mammalia, Artiodactyla, Balaenidae. The transcript has 3 exons.
UGUCUCGGCUGUUUUGUGGUGAGAAGACAUGAAGCAAAGACACACAACAAUAAAUGAAGAUUUGUAAACCUCCAGUGACAUCAAGAAACCAACCUGUUCCGGAUGAAAAUGAGAGAAGUUAUCUGUGUAGUGAAAAGUGUUUACCUUGUUGAAGCUUAGCAGUCGUCCACUUGGGCU